GAGUUUGAUCUGGCUCAGAUUGAACGCUGGCGGCAUGCCUUACACAUGCAAGUCGAACGGCAGCACGGGAGCUUGCUCCUGGUGGCGAGUGGCGAACGGGUGAGUAAUGCAUCGGAACGUAUCCUGGAGUGGGGGAUAACGUAGCGAAAGUUACGCUAAUACCGCAUAUUCUGUGAGCAGGAAAGCGGGGGACCUUCGGGCCUCGCGCUCUUGGAGCGGCCGAUGUCGGAUUAGCUAGUUGGUGAGGUAAAGGCUCACCAAGGCGACGAUCCGUAGCAGGUCUGAGAGGAUGAUCUGCCACACUGGAACUGAGACACGGUCCAGACUCCUACGGGAGGCAGCAGUGGGGAAUUUUGGACAAUGGGGGCAACCCUGAUCCAGCCAUGCCGCGUGAGUGAAGAAGGCCUCGG
Molecule: ribosomal RNA, 410 nt
Filed under: bacterium enrichment culture clone ALO1_GLFRUDD03GB360
Lineage: Bacteria
Description: bacterial SSU rRNA
Rfam family: Bacterial small subunit ribosomal RNA
Source: RNAcentral